This 459-nucleotide ribosomal RNA is filed under the name uncultured bacterium. RNAcentral describes it as "partial 16S ribosomal RNA". It matches the Rfam family "Bacterial small subunit ribosomal RNA", at positions 29 to 523 of the family's 1533-position model. The record is from RNAcentral.
AACGAACGCUGGCGGCAGGCCUAACACAUGCAAGUCGAACGAGAAGCCACCUUCGGGUGGUGGAAAGUGGCAGACGGGUGAGUAACGCGUGGGAACGUGCCUUUCGGUUCGGGAUAACCCAGGGAAACUUGGGCUAAUACCGGAUACGCCCUCCGGGGGAAAGAUUCAUUGCCGAAAGAUCGGCCCGCGUCGGAUUAGCUAGUUGGUGGGGUAAUAGCCUACCAAGGCGACGAUCCGUAGCUGGUCUGAGAGGAUGACCAGCCACACUGGGACUGAGACACGGCCCAGACUCCUACGGGAGGCAGCAGUGGGGAAUAUUGGACAAUGGGCGAAAGCCUGAUCCAGCCAUGCCGCGUGGGUGAAGAGGGCCUUAGGGUUGUAAAUCCCUUUCAGCGGGGACGAUAAUGACGGUACCCGCAGAAGAAGUCCCGGCUAACUCCGUGCCAGCCGCCGCAGUAA